This is a long non-coding RNA of Drosophila santomea, 742 nucleotides long. RefSeq lists it as uncharacterized. The record is from RefSeq and is a predicted model, not a curated record. The transcript has 3 exons. Lineage: Eukaryota; Metazoa; Arthropoda; Insecta; Diptera; Drosophilidae.
GUUUCCUUUACAAAUUGUUGUCCAUUUCCUUUGGAAUUUAGCUUUAUAAUAAAUAAAAUUCAACAGCGUGAAUUCUGAUUACAAUAAAUAACAAACGAAUUGAAACAAAUUAGUUAUUUUUAUAGGCCCAACAACUACAAAAGCUGUGGGCAUCCACUCCAAUCCAUUCCAAUGGUCAACAGCCACUCGGACGUACAAAUAUUCGCAGACAGAUACAGAAAGUGUUCCACCAAAGGGCUAUUCAAGCCGUCAUUCAGGCCGGCAGAGGAAACAGCAUACCCAAAAGCCCUUGUGCUGCGUAGAUAAAGCUGAACUAUGACCUAUGCCUCGAACAGGGAUUUCGGAAAACGGAAAGGAUUCUCCCUCAGCAGAACGAUUGAGCGGCAGCUAAUAUUUUUGCCCUUUUUUUGUGGGCCAACAACGGCGAGUUGGAGGAACAAUAAUAGCUGCGGCAACAGCAGGACACAGAUUGCGAUGAUGGGGCCGCAUGGAGCUUAGGAGCAUUUUUAGUUUGGCCUUCUCGCAGACGAUGAUGUGAUGUGAGAUUGGGGCCCCAACGCUGCCAUAACUUUGAAGAAGCCGUGGCGAAUGAAAUGAAAUAUGAAGGGGCUUGGAUUGGCCAUCAAGUGAACAGAUCCUUUUCAGUAGUUCGCAGUGCUUGGGGCCCAUAAUCGCUGGGACUUAAAGAUUUUCGGCUGAAAAAGGCAAAUAAAUUGAUUCUCCUUGAGAUAGUACUCCCUUA